Molecule: long non-coding RNA, 1281 nt
Filed under: Lepisosteus oculatus (spotted gar)
Lineage: Eukaryota; Metazoa; Chordata; Actinopteri; Semionotiformes; Lepisosteidae
Description: lncRNA (ENSLOCG00000022589.1)
Source: RNAcentral
AAGAGAGUGUGUGGUUACUGUCUGACUGUUGCUCAUUAACAUCCGUGUCGGCGUAGUGAAGCUGAGAGUUUUUGCUUGCUCUGAACAGGAAUCAACUUCAGGAACCCCGAUGGGAACAUCAGCACGGGCGUGGGGGGGCCCUGUCCUCAAGGGCACUUCUGCCCUGCUGGCACCAGCCUGCCCCUGCCCUGUCCGCUGGGGUCCUUCUCUGACAGGUCAGGCUGACGGGGGGGCCCAGCCGCAGUGAGGAGGCGCUCCGGCGGUGUGCACUCUCCCAUGACCCACCUGCGCACGAGCAGAUGUUUUUUGGAACUGGAACGCCUCCUUUCUGCGAUCAGAUCGGUGUUUUGCACGCACGGAAAUGAGCUCUGCAUGUCCAGAAAUGAGAAUACAAGCCUACUGGUGCUUUCGUCUGGGAGGAGUGAUAAUGUGGCCCCCUCCCCCCUCUCUCUCUGUCUCCCUCUGUUCCUGGGACAGCCUCCACGUGUCUGCGCAGUCGGGCUGCAGUCCCUGCCCCCCAGGGCAGUUCUGUGACGUGGAGGGGCUGGUCCAGCCUUCAGGACUGUGUAGAGAGGGCUUCUACUGCCCCAGAGGGGCUAUCUCACCCACCGGAUCUGGAGGAGGAGGCCGGCCUUGCCCUGCUGCCCACUACUGCCCCGCAGGCAGUGCCCAGCCCCUGCCCUGCUCGGCGGGCACCUACGCCAACCUGACCGGCCGGGCCCGGUGUUCCCGCUGCAGGGCGGGGUACUUCUGCCCAGAGAGGACCAGCACGUACAGCUCCUUCCCCUGCCCCCCCGGCUUCUACUGCCCCGAUGGCACCAGGUAUGCCACUGAGUUUCCCUGCCCCAGGGGCUACUACAACCCAGAGCCCAUGACCCAGAGCGUGGACAGCUGCCUGCCCUGCCCUCCUGGCCAUUACUGUGAGAAGGAGAGGCUCACUGCUGUGUCAGGAAAAUGCAAAGCUGGUUGGUUCUGUGUGUCUGCUGCUUGGAACUCCCAGCCCUUCGACUUGGACAACUACACUAAUGCCAACUGCCUGUGCCCAGCCACCUCCACGGGAGGAAAGUGCCAGGAAGGGUACUACUGUCCCGAGGGGAGCUCUGAACCCCUGCUCUGCCCUCCUGGCUCCUUCUGCAACACGUCAGGUGCAGUGCUCCGUUUCCUGACCUCAUACUGUAGCUCCCCAGCUGUCCUCUCUGUUGUUCUUUUUAAGGUGGAUCUGUCACCCAAUGCAGAAGAGGCAGCCCUUCUUAGCAUUUCUAUAAGACCACCUUAUUGCAA